This 265-nucleotide ribosomal RNA is filed under the name uncultured archaeon. RNAcentral's name for it is "partial 16S ribosomal RNA". It matches the Rfam family "Archaeal small subunit ribosomal RNA", at positions 722 to 982 of the family's 1478-position model. The record is from RNAcentral.
AGACGUCUUCAUUAGAUACCCGUGUAGUCCCAGCCGUAAACUAUGCUCGCUAGGUGUCAGGCAUGGCGCGACCGUGUCUGGUGCCGCAGGGAAGCCGUGAAGCGAGCCACCUGGGAAGUACGGCCGCAAGGCUGAAACUUAAAGGAAUUGGCGGGGGAGCACAACAACGGGUGGAGCCUGCGGUUUAAUUGGACUCAACGCCGGACAACUCACCGGGGACGACAGCAAUAUGUAGGCCAGGCUGAAGACCUUGCCUGAAUCGCUG